This 949-nucleotide long non-coding RNA is filed under the name Sus scrofa (pig). RNAcentral describes it as "lncRNA (ENSSSCG00060075801.1)". The record is from RNAcentral. Lineage: Eukaryota; Metazoa; Chordata; Mammalia; Artiodactyla; Suidae.
AUGGAGGCGGGGUACCGAGAGGGAGGCAUUUGUGACCGCAGCUGGUUUGGGGGGCUGGCUCUUAAGAUGACCCUUGCUCAGUUGAAAGCAGCCUGGAAGAACGUAGCCUUCGGAAGCAGAUCUUAGAGUUGGAAUCCCUCUUGGAUUUUGAAAAAUGGAGCUUCCUUUUUCCUGUUCACCCAACCAUGUGUCCAGUGGCUCAAGUUUCGUGGAGUGAGACCACAUAUCCUUUGGAAGGCUGAUCAGCACUGCACCAGAAACCACUGCAUAAAAUCUGUCAGGAACUCCUGAAGCCCAUUUCCCAUUCCGAAGCUAUGGAAGUCCUAGAAUAUGAAUGGAAAUAGCCUCUCAAGGCUAUUUCCCAGCUCCUUUGGGCCUACCUUUGAGAGAACCCAUACCAUGGUGCUCUCGAGGGAAGAAGGAGAAAGAAUCCUCUGCUUUGUUUUUCAUUCAGUUGUCACGUUACUUAAAACAAAAAGUUUUAUUUCAGCAUUUAUUUAUUCCUCUAUAUUCUCUUCCGUUUGGGGAAAGAAAAACCUGAACAGAGGGUUAUAGUGAGGGACUCCUGUCGUUCUGACUCUUUGUGUUAAAAAAAAUUGGGGCUUCCAGAAAAGAGCUUUGGAUCUGUUGCCACUUUGUGUGUGUGUGCAGCACUUGGUUCUGCUCCAUGGUUUUCCAGUUCUUGUGUCUUUGANGCAUACCCCCACACACUUGGUUCUGCUCCAUGGUUUUCCAGUUCUUGUGUCUUUGAAUAGUACUGCUCGGUGGCCAUCUCUAUGUCUGCACUCCUGCUAGGGAAACAGGUUUGCUCCUGCUCAUGUUUGCUAAAGGAGACUGAGAUGUCUUGUUAGGCCCUGAAAAACCUGAUGUGGCUCCCGAGAUCCAAAAAGAUUUCUCCAGCUGGAUUCAGAGCCACAAAAAGUGGCUCUGGGGAGUAGGGUGCAGAUGG